RNAcentral lists this long non-coding RNA (2986 nucleotides) under Amborella trichopoda. Its description in RNAcentral is "long non-coding RNA (ATRI_LNC002135)". The record is from RNAcentral. Lineage: Eukaryota; Viridiplantae; Streptophyta; Magnoliopsida; Amborellales; Amborellaceae.
UCCAUUCAAAGCCAAGUUUACAUCGAAAUUGUAACCCAAAAAUUUACAUUGAUCUUAUCAAAAGUAUCCCAAAUUACAUUGAAAUUUUACAAUAUAAAAUCAACGUCCUCUUCUGGGAGCAUAUCCUUUUCCCAGUGGUUGGUAUAGUGGGACCCACUCUCUCAUCAUUCAAGAGGCCGUGCGGAUCGUCCUCUUGGAGUUCUUGCAUGGUGCAUUUGCAGAUGUGGCUCAGCAGUUGAGACAUGCUUUUGUUUAGAGUUAUCACUGAACUCUUAUUCUUCCUCAACAAACUCGCCUUUAGACAACAUCAACUUUCGCCUGAUCUCCCUAAAAUAUCGAUCUUUCGUCUGCGAGCCCAUUGUCAACAAUUCCAAUCAAAUGGUCUACUUUGGUCAACGGAAACACCACAAUUACCCAUAACUAGCCAACAUACAUACAAUAAUUACAUAUACAUAAAAUAUAGUUGAAAAAAAUGUAUGAAACCUACAAAUUAAUGACUUUGAGACAUAUCAAGAAUAAUUAGCAAAACAAAAUGAGUUUACCUGAAGUAAUGUCGCACACCCAGAGAGGGGAGAAUCGGGUGCCGACUAACCAUCACGCAACAAAUCUUGCCUUCCCUUUUUAUUUUAAUAGUUACGAACUUCUUGAGGGGCCUAAAAAGAUAGGCAAGGGUUGCGGCCCCUCAUAAGUAUUGGCCCGCAAUAUCAAAAUCCUUAAUUAAGGUCAAAUACCUAAUAGAGACCUCAUUACCUUUCGAAGGGGAAAAAAUGGUGCUGCCUACUAAAUAUACCCCUAGUGUAUAGUUCUAUUUGUACUCAUGUGGGAUUUUCUGGUAGAUUCCCAAAAGUUUCUCUCAAUCAAGUGAAGUUUGAUGAAUAACGAAGUUUAAAAUCGUUUGGCAGAAGGUCUCCCAACCAUCGUAACAGCUAUAUCCUAUAUGGUUUGCAUCUCCCUAUUAAUACCGGCUCACCUAUGACUCUGAUCCAUAAAUUAUGCCAUACAUCAUAUAAGGUUGGCAUCAUCUCAUCAACACAUCACAGACAGUGCAAUGACUUCGUCUCUGGGUGCCAUCUCUAUGUCACUGCCUCCAUAAGAGGAUGGUCAAUUUGUCGCGGUGCCCCUCCAUGUUAGCAUACUGAACAAGAGGCCAUAGCCCCAUCCUUCAAACUUUAAUCUUCUUGCUCAGCUGUAAGGGGCCAAUGUCUAAUGAUACUAAAACCCUCAUCAAUAUAAAUCUUCUUUCUCUCCAGGCCGAUUGUAGCUAAUGUCCAAGCAUGAUCAUCUUUCAUGUACAAGAAGUCAUCUUCAUGUGCCAAUAAACUUUGAAAUGCAUGUCAUGAUGUGUUGGUAACAAGCAUGCUAAAAUAAAUGACAUACACGCUUAUGUGCACCAAUUUCACCUUAACUCAAAAUCAUCACAAUAUAUAAAUAGAAACAAAAAUUCAAAGUACAAAUAACCAGUCAUGAAACUCAAUUAUUCAACAUAUGGUUAUUUUCAAUAUAUAGUUAUUUUGGCGAUCAAAGAAGGGGUGCAAUGAUGAAGGCGGAGAAAAUUAUAAAGCACGAUUCAUAGUAAAGGGAUAUGGUCUAAAAGAAGGCACGUAUUUCAAUAAGAUCUAAAUAGUAAAAAAGAAUAGUUCUAUUCAGUUUGUUAUUACUACAAUUGAAAUCAGGAUGACAAAAUACAUGCAACAUCUUGAAGGCUAUAUGGAGAAAGAAAAGGUCUGUAAAAUGGUAGUCAAUAUAUAUAAACGGUAUGCUAAAGAAUUUAAAAUGAAAAACUUAUGGCAUGCAACCCACAAAAAAAAUGGAACUUUGUAAAGAUAAAAAGAAUGAGUAGUUGUGGAUAUCAUAGCAAAAAAAGCAUAUUAAGAAGGUAGAUAUUAACCAGUAACCACUCACCACUUAAACACAUAUAUGCACAUAUACGAUACAUAGAGAUGGAGAUUGCAUCUUCACACACUCAUAACAAACAUCGGGCUUUUAAACAACAAAUUGAACAUAAAAAUGAUAUGACAAAGGAACAACCACAUGAUGUAUACAUGAGUUUCUUUACUUUUCUUUUUUUCUUGUGGAAAUAUGAUUUAUUCAUUAUCAUUUACUAGAAUUUGAGCCAGAUAUCACUCUGACAAAUCGCAGUUCAGCUCUUAGAAAACUUGUAAAAAGGGAAGUACACUUUUUUUUUUUUUUGGUGAAAAGAUUAACUUAUAUUGAAAGAGAACAAAAUGUAAAUACACAAAAAGAAUGAGAAAAGAUGGCAAUCCACAAGUUGUGGUGCACAGAGAUACCACAUGGAAAAUGAACAAGCUCAAAAAAAGAAAAAAAAAGAAAAAAAAAGAAAAAAAAAGAAAAGAAAGCGUAUACUAUAAUCAUCAUACAUGGAAAUCUAAAUAAACAAGCUCGAAAAAAAAAAAGGAAGAGAAAAACAUUCAAACUCAAGAUGGAUGCGAAAUAAGUACAUGAGAACAUGUGAAUCGGCUUUAUAGAUACAUAAAUAUCCCAUGGUAAAUUAACAAAAAAAAAAGAUUGGGUGUUUAGAAAAAAUAAAAAUGAACAUUCAAUACACGUUUUGGGGUUAUUUUAUCCCCAAAAUCCUAAUCACGCAAAUCUCAUUUUCAAUCACAAUCAAAUAGAAAUACGAACAUUUAUAAGAGAACCAAAAACUCUACUAAUAAAUUUCAUGUAUUUUGGGGCUAUUUUAUCCCCAAAACCCUAAUCCCCCAAAUUUAAUUUUCUAUAAAUUUUUUUUUUUAUGAGAUAUACCUGAUUUGAUUGUGGUUGAGCAGGUUGGGCUUCGGCUUGACCAAAGAUUGAGUGAGAAAAGUGCCGGCUUGGGCUUGGGCUUGGGCUUGGGCUUGGGCUUAGGCUAAGCAAAGAGAGUGCGAGAGAGAAGAACCUACUGAGCAGAGCUGUCCGAUAGAGCAGCAAAAUGGGGUUCUUUUUGCUUAAAAGGAGCCCAUGACUUAUACGGUAUUUUGAACACCGG